This is a non-coding RNA of Cyanistes caeruleus (blue tit), 7295 nucleotides long. NCBI's taxonomy places the organism in Eukaryota, Metazoa, Chordata, Aves, Passeriformes, Paridae. The record is from RefSeq and is a predicted model, not a curated record.
UCCCGGAGGCUGAGCAGAACAAAAAAUGAAUCAAGAAAAGCAAGCGUAACGAGUGAAGAAAAUACUCCAGUUGAAAAGGACAAGAAAAAGUCUUUCUUUUGGCUUUUUCCCACUUUAUGCUUCAGAAACCCCAACACAGAUACCCUGGUUUCUGCCUAUGGAGCACCGGCACAGCAAAGGAAAACUGUCACCUUCUGCCGCAGCACAGAAGAUGCACGAAGGACCAGCAGCAAAGGGGUUAAAGGGAGUCCCAUAGCAAAGAUAUGCAAUGCCUUGAAAUUUUAAGCACUAAAAUCUAUUAAUACAUAAAAGAAUAAAUCUCUGCAAUUCCAGAUAUUUCUGGUUGACACAAACCACUUGGAGCCAGUUAUUAAAGGGUAUUUUUUAUUGUGAGUGCUGAAAUUGGUGAUGCCUGGGUUCUCUAUUCAUUUGUGCCCUAUCUUUCUGCACACUGUGCUCCCGCUUCAGCAAGCCCAACCAUCCCUCCAGACCUUUCACACACUCGUCCCUCACCGCCAUUCCUCUUUCCUCUACCCUCUUCUCCCCUUAUUUCCUUUUCAUUUCACCACCUGCAAAGGCAUCGCGGCCAGGCUGGCCAGGAGGGAGCACAGCAGCUCAGACCACAUCUCUCACCUCAAUCAAGCUAUCAAGUUUCAUGAUACUCAGACUGUUGCUCCACCAAUUUCAGCUAAAAUCAGUCAGUUGGUUCAAAAAGUAUUCAGGGCAAGUGGACAAAAGAGAUUGACAUACUCUGCAAUCACAUUUCUAAGGCAGCCUGGCUAAUUGGAAGCUGAUAAUACUUUUUCUUUUUAAUAAUAUUUUUAAGCUCCAUUGAUACAGUUUCCAGGCAUAUUUCUUACCUUCCUGAAAGUGUAAGUGUAGUGAUAAGAUAUACCUUUUGUUCCACCCUAUCUUUGUAAACAUACUUCUGUCUGCAAAAUACAUGGCUGCAGGGGUUCCACUGGUUUCAACCAGUGCCACACAGCUGGCAUCUGGGUGUUUGUGACUUGCCAACUUAUUAUAUUUCACAGAUUGGUUUCAGGUGGCUUAAAAAAAAAAAAUAAAAAAAAGGUCCGAAUUUUGCUUUUCCCUGAAUACCACAGGUGUAGCUGACCAUAAUUUUCACUGCUUGAUAGCUGCUGGAAGAAAAUGUGUCUGAGUGACUUGGGCACUUUACCAGAAGUCUGAGACUUGCUCAUUUUAAAUUGUGAGGAAGGUGAGUCCUUCCUCUCCUAAAAGUGGCUGGUGUAUUUAUGUGGGGUGGAGGGAAAAAAAAGAGGUUUUACUCAAGCUGUUUUUCACACAGUUGGGUAGCAUCUGGUUCCCAGACUUCUCCCCUCUUUUCAAGUGGACUGAAGGGAAGAGAAAAUUGCUCCUGCCUUUAGCUCCUGGGAAUAGCAGCUUUGGAAGGGGCAAAGAGCCCUUAUCAUUACCUACAGGUGAAAAAAUUGAGGGAAUCUCUUUCCUUUUCCUCAUCUGUCAAAGAUAUCUGAGAAAUUUCUCAUUUUCACCUCCUUCCCUCAAAAUGAGAGCUCUGGGUAAAAGGGGCAUCACCCUUCUGUGAUGGAGUUAGGUCCCUAGCUGAAGAACAUACACUGCCUCCUUGCAGAAGUGGUGAGAAGGGCCUCCAGAGUGGGUCUUGUCUUUGUACCUGAGUAGACACCAGAAUCAUUCAGGACAAUCUGUUAUGAGCCAGUUUGCAAACUCCAGUUCCCCAAAUUGUGCUUGGAGUUACGUGCACUUGGUGAUUCAGAAAAAAUACAACAGAAAAACAUGCAUCAAGUGGUAUCCUCUAGGUUUGGUUUGUUUUAAAUCUCUGAUUAGGCUACUUCUAAAACUUGUUCUCCAUUUUUCUGAUUGCCCUGAUUCCAAGAGAGAUUGAGCUUCCUUCUCUUCUCCAGUGGGACUGUUGUCCCAGUGAGUUACUGUCUUGGAUGGGCAGAGGGGUAAAUGCAUGAUUUUCUCCAUUUGAAAAAGACCCAAAAACGUUUUUCUGCUCAGCCUCAGCCAUUUGGCUGGGAGGUUUCCACACAUGUGUCAAGCUGGAUUUUCUUCUCUGACUGCUGCAAACUACUCAGAUGAGGUUGAGGGAAAGUACAAGCUUUUGACAGCUCACAGAAGAUUCCAGCUAAUGUAGUUCAUUGGGAAUUUUUCUACACAGCAUUUUUCUGUUGAAAAAUGCCAACUCCUUGUGGUGGAGGCUCAUCUCCAGCAAAUCACUCACUUUAACAGAUAGAGCCUGGAGCAGCCUGAGAUUGGCCAACAUAUGGCACUCUCCCUUGUAGGACUUAAAAAUUCUGGGUCCAUAGUCUCAUAAUUGCCUUGCUGUCAGCAAAAAAUUGUGGAAAUUCAUUGAUUCUUUACGCUCUUCCCAUGACUGACCCAUCCACAAAGUUAUUACCUACUCCUUGCUGAGCUGUGCUGGCUCCUACUGCAGAUGUCUGUCCUUGUGUUUUUUUAAGCUUUGCCCCAGCCUGGGCAAUUAACCAUGUUGGAGUCAUUGGGGUUCCCCAAUGGGAAAGGGAUUCAAAUUGUUACAGAGAUCCAAAGAAACUAGAUUAAAGAGCCAAUAUUAAAAGAGCUUUGAAGGCACAAAAUUACGAUAAGGAAUGCCUGACAGAGGGUCACCAGUAAAACCUCAGCUGUGCAUGAUAGGGGGAGUUUUAGUUACAGGCUCUCUUUCGUGUGGUUUCCUGUCUCGCUCAGUGCACUGGAGAACCUUUGCCCCACUAAAGCAGCAUGGUUAUAUAGUUAAACAUGCUGCUUUCAGUUCAAGUGGUUUAAAAACAAGAAGAAUUUCCAAACUUUGCUUUCCCCUGAAUGCCACAGCUCUAGCUACUAUUUCAGUUGUUUCAUUUUUUGAUGACUAUUAAGUCAUGGCUGUGAGUGAGUGCAGGGCUGUGGGCAAGCAGCUUUGCCCAGCUAUUUGUGGAAGUGAAAGGCAUGUGAUGAAAAUGAAAAAAGAAGUCUACUUCUUUUGUGAAGGCAGUGAUGAAGCUGGUUGAAAGUUGUACAAUAGGCUGGGUUACAUCCCUGCCCAGAGCCUUCAUUUUGUGCUGGCAAGUAGUUCAAACAUGUUAAGAGGCUAAUGAAGCUACUUCUGCUACUGAGUGCACAAAUUAGAUUCUGCAGAAGUAUUGAGUAAGCGCAGGUGAAACUAAUGGGAUCUGUUAUCUAAAUAUAGAAAAUAAUAUAGCCUAUUAAAUGUUAUUUAAAAAAUGCAAGCUGCAACUCCAAUUAGGUGCCAAAAAUGAGAAAAGAUUAAUAUAACGAGUCAGCCUCUUGUCAGUGAACCAGGAAUAAUACCAGCUUUCUGAUGAAAACUGUUCUCCAGCAUCCAUACUCCACAGCUUCCCAAUUCCCUGAUGAUCCAGGAGGGAAGGGAGGGUCAUUAACAUUCUGGAUUCUCAAGAGUUUGAGAGUAAUGUGCAUGAUGUGAACUAGCUUGGAGAAAAAUAGUCUGUGCUGGUGUAAACACAGACAGCAUCAUAAAACUUCAAGGGUCAGAGCUCAGCUUGAAUUAAGACAGAUCUCUCUUAUUUAAUAUUUAGCACUGGGAGGAUGAAAGAAGUAUUGCCCUAGAAAAAUCAGCUUUAAAAUUCUGCUGGAUGCUGGGAUUUCACUUUAGAAAUAAAUAGGGCUGUUCUUUCCUUUGCUCUGCACUUCAAAGAUUUACAUACGUGACAAUGAGUUAUCAGCUGUUUGCUGAGCACAAGUCGGUGUGAUUGAGAAAUAGCCACUGGUUUGUUCCGUGAAGUCGUGGGAAGAAACAAACAAAACAAAUGACACAGGGAAUGGUUGAUGGUUUUUUAAGAGCAUUAUAUGGCUGAUGAGAGCAUUUUUUACCACUAAUGGUAGCAACCAUCUUUUUGGUUGUUAGAAGCAAAUUUUUUUAGUCAGAAUACUGUAAUAAAAAGGAAAAUAAUCAGAUUUUUCAGAACAUGCUUUGGAGGGUUUAUCCCUAGACCAUGCUCACUGUGACCCUCAGUUUGUCACUUGCUUACCAGCACCCAGAGGCAAGUGUCUGCUCAUCUCAUAGAUAUCCUGAGGAAUACUAUUAAUAGUCUCUCUUCUUAUUAAUAUCUUUUUUCUUUAGUAGCACUGAUAUGUACUAGGCACUUUAUGUACAAAUAAGGAAGCAACUUACUUUUCCCAGAAACUGGUCAUUGAUUGGGAUUUGCCUGGAGUAGGGUAAAAUUAUUCUUUCUGGGCUGUAUUCAUUUAUCUGUUACUUGUAACAAUUUAUCUUGCAUGCUUAGCUGUGACAGGUCUUGUUUUACAAAACCCAAAAACAUAGCAGGUGAUCCACAGUAGAGUCUAAGUGUGGCCUACAGCUGGAAUGGUAUUUUCAGGGAGGCAAAAAACCAACCAGACAAACACCAAAAUCCAAAAAAAGGUGAUGUUGGCAGGUCAGUCUCGCUUGGUAGUCUUCCUUGCUAUUCACUGUCCAAAAUCCAGCCAAUCUCAGAAACCCAUCCAAGUGGAUGCUUCUGUAGCCUGCCAAGUUUAAAUGUUAGAAGGAAAUGGGAGAAGCAAAGCUCCCAAAGCUGGUGGAGAACCACUGGGUGGAAGUGAAUCCCAGGGAGCCCAGAGCAGAUGCUGGGUGCUCUGGGAAUCCUGUCCUCACCAGGAAGAGAAGGCUGGUGGCUGUAGCCUGGGGUGCAGACCCCAGGUGGCUGCUCCAGGUUUGCUCCUGAGCAAAUGGCUUGGAAGUUCUUUCACCCUGGAGGUGGUAAAGCAGGGAAGAGUCUUGCAAAGUCUACCUGAGAGAAAAAAUUCACAUCCUCAUUGGUGUUUUAAAUUACGUAAGGCACUGCUCUUCCUGCCGGCUGAGAAGGGAUACUAGCUCUAAUAAAUUCUGCUAAUUGCUGGUACCAUUUUAGGGAAAGACAAUUUAUCUUCCUUAGGUAGGCAGUUUAGGUUCUUACCAAACACAUUCGCUGACACAGCUGCUGGAGAUUCCUAUUUUAGUUGUAUGCUUCCUUGCACAACCUUUUUUUAAACAAUAACAUUUGAAAGGUAUGCAGGAAUAAUAGGUGACGCUUUUUGCUAAAAAAAAAAAAAAGCUUUCUUUUGAUUUGACUAUGAACUUAGAUCCAUGUGAAAAAUGUUGUGUUUUUCUAAAUGCUGUACUUUUUCCCUGUAUAUUCACUUCUACAAAAUACAGUUGUGUGGGGCAGUAAUACCCAAAAUUGUGCAUCUAAAAGUCUAAAUAUUUGUAUAUUUCUAAUGAAACAUCCUGAUUAUUAUAUUUUACCUGUACACAAUUUAGCACAAUAAUGUCUAGUUUAGAAAGAGACUGUGGGUAUACAAGGGUGGUAUUUACUGUGCAUGGCUGCAGUUAACAUGCCAAGUCUUUCUUUUGUCUUUAAUACCUCUUUCAAAUACAGACAACUAAUUAGAUUUCAAUAUAGAGAUUUUUCUGUACUGAUAUGCAUAUUAUAUGCAUACAUAGUAUGUGUGUAGCAUUUCAAAAGAUAUGUACAUAUGCAGACAUACUAAAGACAAAUAGUUAAUGUUACAUUACAUGCAUAUAAUAGAUUCAUAAAUAUAAAAUACUUUCACUGUUCUUUGGUUUCCAUGCAGAUUUACGGUCUAUCAAAUGGAUUAAAGCCUGUGGCUGCUGCAUAGUCAAGUAGGCAGCUGCUCAAUAUUUAUUUUUAUCUUCAUUGCUGAAAAAGUAGGCCCACUGCUCAUUAAAUUAGUCCUGGUUCUUCCAGUAAGCAUUAUCUCCUUCACCAGGAGUACAGGUUAGAGAUAUUUGGAAGUUUUCCAGCAAUGCUUAGGGGUUUUUUGCUUUUUUUUAUUUUUCAGAAAAGAUAUAUUUGCGCCUGAAAUGUUUCAGUCAAAAGAAAAAAAAAUAUUUUACCGACCAUAUGUGACCAUACGUAUUCACACAUCUCACCUCCGCCCUCAGCAUUCACACCUUACUAUUUCCUUGGAUUUCUUUGGGUGUCCUGAGCCUCGGUUUAAUCUGCCUGAUAGAUGGGCUAAUUAUGUUGAAAGCUAAUGAUCCCUGGGCCUUAGGCAGUCUGCCAUUAAGCUGAGAACCCAAACCACAGUCUGCCUGGCAGAUCUUCCCCAGGCAUAGCAGACCUGAAACUGGGCCAUUGUUUGCCAGAAAACUUCCAUCAAAAGCCCACCACCUCCCCUGGAGUUUAAAAUUUUGGAAGAAAUACAAGAAAUUUCACAGAGAACAAACUCCAUGCUUUUCACCAGCUCUAGUCCACUCACAGCAGGAUAAAUCAUCAUGUUAAUCCACUACACCUAUCUAUUAAUAUUUGCCUUUUCCUAUAAUGUUCAUGGAAUGACAGACUCUAUGAGUGCAUACAUAUAUGUGUGUGUAUAUAUAGAUAUACACACACCAAAUUAGACAAAAUAUGUUGUCUGUAAGUAGGUAAGAUUUCUGUUGUGCCCAGAAGGGCAGGGGGGGAAUUCUUCAGAUAGUUCUUAGCUUUGGUAUUUCUUGGCUCCUAAAUGUUUUAGUUUGCGGUCUAUUUAUAAAGUUAGAAAGUUAUUUUAAAGAUGUAUUUUAAUGCAAAGUCUAAGAGAGGCUUAUUUUGAACUAAACUACUUGUGAUUUUUCAGUAGAUGUUCUAAAAAUAGUUUUGUCAUGUAUGUGAUGUAGACUGCAGAGUUUUGCAGUAGUAGGGCUCUUGAGCAGAUUGGGGUUUGUCAGGAAUUAAAAAAUGGAGUAUCAGGUUAUAAAAUAAUCUACAUCCCAUGAUAAUACUCAGGGAGAACUCCAAUUUCUUGUAAACAUUGAAUGCAUUGACUGUCCAUUGUUGUACACAUUUCUCUCUUGAACUUGUGCUGGUUAAUUCCCUGAAGAAAUAAGGGAUCCAGGUAUUUUGGGGAAAACAGGGACAGCAAGGGGAGCAACCUUUGAAUUAAAACGGGAUUUCUGCUUCUGUCCUCUUCUUCAUUUGCAUUUUAGUCAGGAGUUCAGCACUUAAGCAGAGACAGGGACUUUCUUACUCGGGGUAUUACAUAUAGUGCACUUUUAAAAUACUGUAGUAAUUUACUAUUGGGUCCUUGAUCUGAUAGUGGAAAAUUCUUCUUUGCAGCCUUAAGUCUCUUGUGGUUAUGUUUCAUUUCAUGUUUUUUUUUUCUUGUGUGAAAAAGCAAUGUGCUUGUUCCGAAGGUGGGGCAGCUCUCUAGAGUGUAAGCUCUCCAGGGCAGGGAACGUCUCUUACUCUGUGUUUGUACCACGUCGCUGUUGCCUUGAUCUGCUCAGAGGCUCAAGCUUCUGUGCACUGUUGCAAUGCAAAUAAUAAACACUACUGAAAAGUAAA